CCGCAUACGAUCUGAGGAUGAAAGCGGGGGACCGUAAGGCCUCGCGCGAUCGGAGCGGCCGAUGUCAGAUUAGGUAGUUGGUGGGGUAAAGGCUCACCAAGCCAACGAUCUGUAGCUGGUCUGAGAGGACGACCAGCCGCACUGGGACUGAGACACGGCCCAGACUCCUACGGGAGGCAGCAGUGGGGAAUUUUGGACAAUGGGCGCAAGCCUGAUCCAGCAAUGCCGCGUGCAGGAAGAAGGCCUUCGGGUUGUAAACUGCUUUUGUACGGAACGAAACGGUCCGGGUUAAUACCCUGGGCUAAUGACGGUACCGUAAGAAUAAGCACCGGCUAACUACGUGCCAGCAGCCGCGGUAAUACGUAGGGUGCAAGCGUUAAUCGGAAUUACUGGGCGUAAAGCGUGCG
This 407-nucleotide ribosomal RNA is filed under the name uncultured Hydrogenophaga sp. RNAcentral describes it as "bacterial SSU rRNA". It matches the Rfam family "Bacterial small subunit ribosomal RNA", at positions 169 to 571 of the family's 1533-position model. Lineage: Bacteria; Pseudomonadati; Pseudomonadota; Betaproteobacteria; Burkholderiales; Comamonadaceae. The record is from RNAcentral.